CAGUCGCCGCGGUAAAACGGAGGGUGCAAGCGUUACUCGGAAUUACUGGGCGUAAAGCGUGCGUAGGUGGUGGUUUAAGUCCGUUGUGAAAGCCCUGGGCUCAACCUGGGAAUUGCAGUGGAUACUGGGUCACUAGAGUGUGGUAGAGGAUAGUGGAAUUUCCGGUGUAGCAGUGAAAUGCGUAGAGAUCGGAAGGAACAUCUGUGGCGAAGGCGACUAUCUGGGCCAACACUGACACUGAGGCACGAAAGCGUGGGGAGCAAACAGGAUUAGAUACCCCCGUAGUCCCUGUCUCUUAUAC
RNAcentral lists this ribosomal RNA (301 nucleotides) under uncultured bacterium. RNAcentral describes it as "partial 16S ribosomal RNA". It matches the Rfam family "Bacterial small subunit ribosomal RNA", at positions 509 to 807 of the family's 1533-position model. The record is from RNAcentral.